This 831-nucleotide long non-coding RNA is filed under the name Heterocephalus glaber (naked mole-rat). Its description in RNAcentral is "lncRNA (ENSHGLG00000032156.1)". The record is from RNAcentral. Lineage: Eukaryota; Metazoa; Chordata; Mammalia; Rodentia; Bathyergidae.
CGUUACUGACAUGAAGGGUCUUUCACAAAUUCCUUCCAUCUGCAAGCUCUUCCUUCGCUUUUCCACAGCAUUUUAACCCAGCCUGUAUAAUGCCACCCAUCCAGCUGCCCAUUCAUCCAACUAAUAGCAAAUGUUUUCUAGGAGCCAACCCUUUCCUGGAGCUGGGGCUAGAUCUGGGAAGAGGAAACAGCUUUGCCUUCCAGGAGGCUCACAGGUGACACAGACAAGAGGAGAGGCGAUGACUAGACUCUCAUCCUAACAACCUCCUUCACCAGACAGAGGCUCUGGAGGAGAGAGGAUCCCAGGUUCUUCACCUUGCAUCUUUAGCACCUAACCCAGAGCAAUACCGGGGAUCAAACUCAAGGCCUUGUGCUUGCCAGGCAGAUGCCAUGCCACUGAGCUAUGUCCCAGACCUGAAGAUUAUGUCUGAUUUUUAAUAUGGACAUUUUCACUCACCUGUGACUAGUAUCUACAGCCUUCCGAACACAAACCAAAGCCUCUUGGAGUCUGAAGAAUUACAGUUUGUUUAUGAGUGGCCAGGAAGAACCCAGCCAGAGAAAAUCCCUGCCUGCUGUGGGCCCUGAAGGAGCUGUUGUCUCCGAUGAUCACAUCUCCAGACCAGCACAGGUCCCAGGGGGCUGCUGUCCAUACCGUGGCAAGGAACCAGACUGAGACCCGCAGGUGGAGAAAUGGUGGGGACACAAGGAUCGAAGACUGUCAUUCACUCCUGUGUUCACUCACUUGCUCCAUGAUACUUCCUAAGCAUCCAGUGUGGACAGGACAUUGCUUCUCUGGAGACACAGCAGGCAACAACAUUCCGCCAUCCAAAAG